UGUACCCGCAUGGAAGGAUGUCUAAAAGCGAACAGGAAUCUACCUGGAUAGGACGCAAACCACUUUAGCAAAGCCACAAUUUCAUCCAACGCAUAACCCAUGUUCCUUUUUAGAAUGAUUGGGCAUGUAUGUGUUACCGGUACACUUAUACCGCCAAAUAAAUUAAGCGGUUCAACUGUCACAAAACCUCGUGCUUUUUUUCGUCGUCAUUUUUUCACCGAGUCGAGUGUUUGGUGGUUUGGUCAAAGCUUUACCUUGCUGUUUUUUCAAUUGGGAAAAAUUUGCGAGAUUUCCUUUUUUUCUUGAAAAUCGCAUUAGCCCGCGUUGCUAAUAUACCUCUGAAUUAACAUAUUUUGCUCCAGCGGAACGCGGAGCAGCGGAACGAAAAACUGAUAAAAACGGGCAGAUUUCGGCGGAAAACGACUCUCUCUGAUGACGCAUCUCUAUCAUGCUCAUCAAGUGGGGCUGAAUCUGGGAAUGUAUCCAGAAUCCCAGAGCUGAAUGCUUACAUCCGUCUGUGUUUGUCUGUUGUCUUGCGGAGCAAAUCGAACCCGACGAAGUGGUGCUUUUGUUAAUUUCUCGCAUUCAUCGAAACGGAUGCCAGCCAGCUUUGGGGAAUUUUUCAUGACACACACAUCUCGGAUAACCGAUACUCGAUUAGCAACAUUAGCACGGAUUACACACAUGAAUGAGAGCGAGGGGAUCAGAGAUGCUUCACAAGCUAAAUUUCAGAAGAUCGAACAGAGAUAUUAUUCACCCAGUAGCACGAGCAUUCACCCGUUUCGAAAACUCCAUUUAAUCACUGCACUUCACCACCUGAGGUAUGUGAAGUCCAAAAAUGUUUCACCGGCGCUAAUGAAGCGUUCACGGUAACUGUAAUUAGUAUAGACAGGAUGCAGGUUUCACGCAGCAAAUCCCAGUUGAAAUAAGCUUCCAUCAGAACUUCUUAUAAGGUGAAGAUUUACAUUUUAAUUAAGCGCGGUAUUGAAGAAUGAUGGAGACGGUAAAGCUAAAACGACCAAUUGGACAACACCUCUAUCCCUGGGCUGCAUGACUACGAUAAUCCGCCAGACGCACCUGUAUGCCACAUUCGAGGCCGCAUUACAAAGAGAAGUCGGGCAAACUCCUGCUGGCCCUAUCCACCCGGUAUUACAAGCGGCCGGUAUAAUGCCGUACACGCCCAAUGUUCCGGUCGGGAGAAAUCAGACCCGGUGUCACCAAACUAAAAACGAUACACACUGCGUGCAGCAUCAGAAUCACGCCGCAGCACAUCUUUGUCCAUCUUUGAACUAGUUCAUACCAUUAUUUUAUUAUUAAUAAACAUA
Long non-coding RNA from Armigeres subalbatus, 1325 nucleotides. RefSeq lists it as uncharacterized. Lineage: Eukaryota; Metazoa; Arthropoda; Insecta; Diptera; Culicidae. The record is from RefSeq and is a predicted model, not a curated record. The transcript is spliced from 4 exons.